Molecule: unclassified non-coding RNA, 253 nt
Filed under: Leotiomycetes sp.
Lineage: Eukaryota; Fungi; Ascomycota; Leotiomycetes
Description: partial contains 5.8S ribosomal RNA, internal transcribed spacer 2, and large subunit ribosomal RNA
Source: RNAcentral
CGCACAUUGCACCCUCUGGUAUUCCGGGGGGUAUGCCUGUUCGAGCUUCAUAUCAACCCUCAAAAACGCCUCGUUUUUGGCAUUGGAUUGUGUUGUAAUAAAACAAAUCCUAAAUGAGUCGGCAGCUAGUUAUCGAAAGCUACAAAUACGUUGGAAUUUUUUACUAUUUGUGUUAUUGGAACUAGUCUUCGCCUUUUUUAUUUUAUAUCUUAAGGUUGAACUCGAAUCAGGUAGGGAUACCCGCUGAACUUAA